CACGUAUUUAGCCGGAGCUUCUUAGUAAGGUACCGUCAUUUUCUUCCCUUCUGAUAGAGCUUUACAUACCGAAAUACUUCUUCGCUCACGCGGCGUCGCUGCAUCAGGCUUUCGCCCAUUGUGCAAUAUUCCCCACUGCUGCCUCCCGUAGGAGUCUGGGCCGUGUCUCAGUCCCAAUGUGGCCGGUCAGUCUCUCAACUCGGCUACUGAUCUUCGCUUUGGUAGGCUUUUACCCCACCAACCGGCUAAUCAGACGCGGGUCCAUCCUAUACCACCGGAGUUUUUCACACCAUGUCAUGCGACAUUCGUGCGCUUAUGCGGUAUUAUCAGCCGUUUCCGGCUGCUAUCCCCCGGUACAGGGCAGGUUCCCCACGCGUUACUCACCCGUCCGCCACUAAGUAACUACAUCUUCCGUCCGAAAACUUCCGUCGUAGCACUUCGUUCGACUUGCAUGUGUUAAGCACGCCGCCAGCGUUCAUCCUGAGCCAGGAUCAAACUCU
RNAcentral lists this ribosomal RNA (500 nucleotides) under uncultured Lachnospiraceae bacterium. RNAcentral describes it as "partial 16S ribosomal RNA". The record is from RNAcentral. Lineage: Bacteria; Bacillati; Bacillota; Clostridia; Lachnospirales; Lachnospiraceae.